Molecule: ribosomal RNA, 460 nt
Filed under: uncultured bacterium
Lineage: Bacteria
Description: partial 16S ribosomal RNA
Rfam family: Bacterial small subunit ribosomal RNA
Source: RNAcentral
CCUACGGGAGGCAGCAGUGAGGAAUAUUGGUCAAUGGACGCGAGCCUGAACCAGCCAAGUAGCGUGAAGGAUGACUGCCCUAUGGGUUGUAAACUUCUUUUAUAUAGGAAUAAAGUGAAGUACGUAUACUGUUUUGUAUGUACUUUAUGAAUAAGGAUCGGCUAACUCCGUGCCAGCAGCCGCGGUAAUACGGAGGAUCCGAGCGUUAUCCGGAUUUAUUGGGUUUAAAGGGAGCGUAGGUGGAGGCUUAAGUCAGUUGUGAAAGUUUGCGGCUCAACCGUAAAAUUGCAGUUGAGACUGGGAGUCUUGAGUGCAGUAGAGGUAGGCGGAAUUCGUGGUGUAGCGGUGAAAUGCUUAGAUAUCACGAAGAACUCCGAUUGCGAAGGCAGCUUACUAAACUGUAACUGACACUGAUGCUCGAAAGUGUGGGUAUCAAACAGGAUUAGAUACCCUAGUAGUC